UCCACUUUACCUAUUGUUUUAUCACUUAAUUUAUAUACUUUAACAACUAUAACUUAAAUUUUACAUGAAUCAUUUUUCAAGUCCAUUGAUUGAGAUUGAAGGCGUCAGUCGAAGCCUAACUUCACAAGCUAAACGGCUACUUUCUUACCUUACUCUCUACUUUGUCAUUUACUUUAUAUUAACUUUAUGACUAUAAUAACUAUACGCUGAACUUUAAAUGAAAAUUUAUUCAAGACUACAAGCAUCGACAUCAAAUUCGUCGUUCAAAGACCGAUGACUACAUCAUCAUAAGACAAACAACUUCAUUCUUACUUUAUUAUUCACACUAUCACUACUUUAUCAUGCACUUUUAACUUUAUGACUUUAUCCUAAACUUUACAGGAAUAAUCAUCAAGUUUUCAGAGACAAAUGGAAGCAUCAUUCAACAUCAAUCUUCAAAGACAACCGGAGUAUCAUUUGGACGACAUCAUCUUCAUAAGCCAAACGGCUUCAUUCAUACUUUAUCAUUGACUUUACCUUACUUUAUUAUUAUUUUACGACUUCAUGACUUUAUCUUGAACUUUACAUGCAACUUUAACCGCGACUUUACAUUCAUCAUACAAUCUCCGAAGACAAUCGGAGGCAUCAUUAACAUCAAUCUACCAACCACAAUUGGAGGGACAUUUAGGCCCGUCCGCAUUCAAUAGAAAAUUUAGGCUUAUCCUCCUUUAAUAGGAUAUUUAGGCUCGUCCACCUUCAACGAGACAUUUAGGCUUGUCCGCUUUCAAUAGAACAUUUAGGCUCGUCUGCCUUUAAUAGGACAUUUAGGCUCGUCUACCUUCAAUUGGACAUUUAAGAUGGUCCGCCUUUAAUAGGACAUUUAAGGCUCAUCUGCCUUCAAUAGGAUAUUAGGCUCGUCCGCCUUCAAUAGGACAUUUAGGCCCGUCCGCCUUAAAUAGGACAUUUAGGCUUAUUCGCCUUUAAUAGGACAUUUAGGCUUAUUCGCCUUUAAUAGGAUAUUUGGAUUUGUCCGCCCUUAAAUAGGACAUACUGAGUUCGUCUGCCCUUGAAUAGGACCUAUUGGCUCGUCUACCCUCUAAUUGGACAUAUCUGGCAACUUUACCCAAGAUUUUACAAGCAUACUCUAUCAUCAAGUCCCCGAACACAACCGGAGGUAUCAUUCGUCAUCAAAACUCCAAAGACAAUCGGAGACAUCAUUCAUCAUCAAAUCUUCAAAGACAAACGGAGGCAUCAAUCAUCAUCAAGUCCCCGAAGAAAAUUGGAAACAUCAUUUAGCCACAUGGCUCCAUCAUCAUAAGCCAUAUAGCUUCAUUACUAGUUUAGCAUUGAUUUCACCCAUUACUUUUGUUAUGACUUUACGACUUUAUGACUUUACCCUGAACUUUACAGACAAUUUUAUUCAAGAAUUUAGAAGCACCAAUGUCAAGCAACUUUAUCUAAGACCUUACAAGCAACUUCAUACAAGACUUUACAGACAUUAUAUCAAGGUCAUUUGUUCAACAAUCAGAGGCAGCAUCACUGCCUUCAUGGUCUCAUCCUCAUUCUCAUAAUCAUAUUCAUUAUCAUUUUAUUCUCUUUAUAAUUUUGCACCUGUGACGUUAUACUAAACUUAAAUAAUGAUUUUAUUACGAACUUUUAGAUGCAUAUUUGCCUGAAACUCUAAAAGAUACAUUUUUUUAGCAAAACACUAUUAACAUUCUUUUUUGAAAUCACAUAUGUCAAUUUCAGCUCGUCACAACUUCACAAUCGUUUACAUAGCCAAACGGCUUCACUCUUGUUUCAUUUUAUUCUUUAUUUGCUUAUCACUUUAUCCUACUUUAUUUUCUUAUUACUUUAUCUCACUUUAUGUGCUAACUAUUUUAUUUUAGAUUUGACAGAAAAUACAAUUUGAAUAUGCUGAUUACAACAACAGGAGAUACACAACACAAUGUGCAAAUUCCUCUCAGCAGUAUUAUGGAAUAAGUUUAGCAUGUAAAUAUCUAUUGUCUAUUCUUAUUUAAGUAUCGAUAGAGGUUUUUAACAUGAUAUGCACAUAGAAAUUACAAAAGGGUUCUAGCCUACCGACAUUUUGAACAAGAAAAUACAUAUACUUUCUAAUAAAAAGACAGUCAUAGCACAAGUUUUCUAAUAUGUACACAACAAAAAAAAUUGUCUGACUCAUGAUUUUCAAUGAACCAAAAAACACAGAAUGACGACUUGAAUUAAAUGGUAUCAAGAAACCGUGCUGAAUGUCCAUAUAUAAACCAUACAAAAUGAAAGGAAAACACGUACUGGAUCAAAAAUGAAAAAGCGAAAUCACUGACCUUUUACGGGGUAGUGAACUCAGUCCUUCGAUCUGCUAUCAAACUCUAACCUCGACCUUGCUACCUCAAGCUACGUUCGAGUAGCAAAAUUGCUUCUGAUUUGGUUAGAAAACCAACAGAAACAGAGAGAAUACAAGAAGGGAAGAACCAAGUUUUAAGAAUGAUUUUGAGGAGUGAAAAUGAUAGAAGAGCAGUAGAGUUAGGAUUUGAGGUAGCCAAGAACGUUCUCCCGGAAACUUUUUAAUGGCUGGUAUUUCUAAGGACAAGUUAGGGUUUAGACUUGGAAUUUGAGCGGAAUUUUGGUUCCAAUUUCAGUCAUAAACAUUUGAAUUUCAAACGUUACAAAUCUUCAAGGACACCUUUUGGCAGAGGGGAAAUCAGAAGAUAAAUAAAAAAGAGAUUUCACCUCUGGUUUUGAAUUACUAUGGUCAAAUUUGCCAAAAUUGGAGAUAGAGAUAAAGGAUGACUCGCAAAGAGAGAGAAAUAAAGAGAAAAGCAAGUGAAAAACCCUAGUCAAACUAGGUAUUGAGAUUUUAUCUAAGAAGGGAUCAUGGUCGCUGGGUUAGAAUCUAUAUAUGGCUGAGAUUAAACCUAGGGUAAAUAAAUAAUAAACAAAACAAUUUAAGUGCUGGCAUUUAUUUUUGGAAUUCUCUAAAAGGUGGUUAAUACCUUUAGAUUUAUUAUAACUUUAUGUUUCAACUAAUAACUUUAGCCUGACUUUUGCAGGAACGCGUAUAAAGUCAUUCAAGAUCAGAGGCAUCAUUCAGCCCGAUGAUGCAUCACAUCAUUAGUCGAGUAGCCCGGCCACAUAUGGGAUCAGUAAUACCUUAUAUUCCUUUCGUACCCGACCACACAUGGG
RNAcentral lists this long non-coding RNA (3162 nucleotides) under Nicotiana tabacum (common tobacco). RNAcentral describes it as "long non-coding RNA (NTAB_LNC010887)". Lineage: Eukaryota; Viridiplantae; Streptophyta; Magnoliopsida; Solanales; Solanaceae. The record is from RNAcentral.